RNAcentral lists this ribosomal RNA (462 nucleotides) under uncultured archaeon. Its description in RNAcentral is "bacterial SSU rRNA". It matches the Rfam family "Archaeal small subunit ribosomal RNA", at positions 319 to 776 of the family's 1478-position model. The record is from RNAcentral.
AGCCCUACGGGGUGCAGCAGGCGCGAAACCUUCACAACGCGCGAAAGCGUGACGAGGAGACUCCGAGUGUUACAGGCUUAGCCUGUAUCUUUUGCCAAGUGUAAAUAGCUUGGCGAAUAAGAGCCGGGUAAUAUCCCGUGCCAGCCGCCGCGGUAAUACGGGAGGCACAAGUGGUUUCCGUGUAUAUUGGGCUUAAAGCGUCCGUAGCUGGUCCUAAAAGUCUCUAGUGAAAGCUCACAGCUUAACUGUGGGAAGUGCUAGGGAAACUCUAGGACUUGGAGGCGGGAGAGGUAAGGGGUACUUCGUAGGGUAGCGGUAGAAUGUGUUGAUCCUGGAAGGACCACCGGUAGCGAAGGCGCCUUACUAGAACGCGCUCUGACAGUGAGGGACGAAGGCUAGGGGAGCGACCUGCGAUUAGAUACCCAGUUAGUCCUAGCAGUAAAUGAUGCGAACUAGGUGUCA